UGCAUUUUAAAAUCAUUUCUUCUCUAUCAGGGAUCAGUAUAAGAAAUGGCAUACUCUCGAAUCCAGGCAAGGAAUUUAUUCCACCUAAUCCAUGGUCUAGUUCUGGCUUGUCUGGAAAAUCUUCAGGGACAAUGUCAGUAAUCAGCAAAGUAAAUUCAGUUGGUUCCAGCUCUACAAGUUCUAGUGGACUGACUGGAAACUAUGUCCCUUCCUUUCUGAAAAAAGAAAUCGGUUCUGCUAUGCAGAGGGUACACCUAGCACCUAUUCCAGACCCUUCCCCUGGUUAUUCCUCCCUGAAGGCCAUGAGACCUCAUCCUGGGCGACCAUUCUUCCACACCCAGCCUAGAAGCACUCCUGGGUUGAUACCACGGCCUCCAGCCGCCCAGCCAGUGCAUGGCCGGACAGACUGGGCUUCCAAGUACGCAUCUCGGCGAUGACUGUCUGCCUUGGUGAUGAAUCUCUUCCUAGGGAGAAGCAGGAUACUUUCCCUCAGCUGACUGGUGUUCUACCUGCAAGAUGUGCAGAGGGCAUAAAAGCAAAUCAACACUUUAUAGUUAUUCUUCUGAACUAAGACAUGUCAAUAUUCUUUUUUAAAGUUUUUUUUUUAAAUAUUGAUUUGAAUGCAGUAGGCUUUUUUGUAUAAAAUUAUUUUAUUCUAAAACUGGGUCCCAUUAUUUUCUUAAACAACAGCAUUUUGUAUAUAUGGAUUAUGUUUUAGCAUUUUAUACAGUCAACUUUGUAAUGAACUUUUUAAAAAUUAAUUGAUUUUCCUUUGGGGUUCCAGAUAAUAUUUUCUACAGAUUUUGAAAAAUGUAAUAAUAUUAAUGCAGUAUUGCAACAGGGGUGCAAUUUAAGGCUAUGUGAUAGAGGGUUAUUUACUCAGUGUGUGCAGAUAUUUAUGAAGUGGUGAAAUUUCAAGUGUGGCUCACUAGGUACUUCAGGCCUUCUUGGACUGUUGUUAGAAAAGUGAUCCUCUGCUUUUCUUAAUAGGUCAUUGGUUUGAUUUUUGGAUACCACUCUGCUGUUCUAAAAGGACUAUUAUAUAAUUCACUUUGUUUUACUUUUGUUCCCCAGAUGAAAGAACUCUAAGUAAAUACAUUUUUAAAAAUUUUUCUGACACCCUUUAAUGUGGUUGCAGAUCUCAGAUGAAACCAAGCUUAAUUAUACUAUGCCAUUAUAUUCUAAUUUAUUCCAUUUUUGAAAUCAAGUUGUAUGUGUACCAAUAAAAGAGAUUUCUGCUUCAAAAGGCUCUCAACAUGAAGGUUAACACAGUCAAUCAAACUUGCAUUCCUGCCAAGAUGCAUGGCCAAAAAACUAAGUAUCAAAGCAGCAGAAGGUUUUUGAUUAUAGUAACUGAGAUGGAAUUUUGUGCCUAGCUCAGUUCUCCAGAUCUGGCUAGGAGCAGUCAAUGACUAAUGUUCUGUCCUAGCCAAAUUCUCAGGACAAUUUGGGGAGCAGAAAGAGUUAUGGCAGAGGUUCCACUCAUCUACAAAGUCACAGUCACAUGCCACAUUUGAUCUCCUAACCCUGGUGUAGUUUCUUUCAAGAGUGAGAACUUUAUUUGUUGGGCAGAGGCUGUUCCAUUGAGAGGAAUGUUUACAGCAGUUUCAAAAAUGACAAAGUCAGUUUGGAGACAGAAAAAGACAAAAGGUCCAGUCUCAUCCAUCUCUAUAUGGUACAUUUGCCUCAGUUAUGGUUGCCUUAAAGGCAAGAGGGAAGGUCACCAUCAGUGAACGCAAUGCAAUCUCAACAGUGUAUUGAUUCAUAUUCUCCUAGGGCUCAAACUACUCUCUAUUGGUUCCAGGAUAAUGACAAAUUGAACCAUAUGUAAGUAAUCUUUUAUUUUUUAUUUUUUUUUGAGACAGAGUCUCACUCUGUCACCCAGGCUGGAGUGCAGUGGCGCGAUCUUGGCUCUCUGCAACCUCUGCCUCCCAGGUUCAAGCCUCCUGAGUAACUGGGACUACAGGCGCCCGCCACCACGCCCAGCUAAUUUUUGUAUUUUUAUUAGAGACGGGGUUUCACCGUGUUAGCCAGGACGGCCUCGAUCUCCUGACCUUGUGAUCCACCCUCCUCCACCUCCCAAAGUACUGGGAUUACAGGCAUGAGCCACCGCACCCAGCCAAGUGAUCAUUUUUAUAGGUUAAAAUGAUAGGUGAAAUGAAUAUAGACACUUUCAUAUGGUUCAACCUAAUGACUUGGUAAAUUAUUGCCUUGGUGUAUUAAUAAUAUGUUGCAUUCUGAACAAAUUACCAUGGCUUCCAAAGGGCCCUAACCUAAAAUCGGAGAGUAAUUUAUGCUUUGGAGAAUCUGACUCAAAUAUAUACUUGACCAAGCACCAUGAUCCCUAGGGGCAUGAGAAAAGCACAUAAUGGAUGUGGAUGUGAUAGGUGGUCUUUUCCUGUUAACAAGCUGGCAGCAAAGCUUCAGAAAAUAUAUAUGCAAGCACAACUUGAAGCUGAAUUCAUUUCUGUAUUAUAUUCUCAACUCGUUAUCUAAAGCAUCAGAACAUGUGUUUUCAGAGAUGAGUCCUUUACUAUAAGGUUAAUAUUUAUUUUCAUUUUCUGUAUUAUAUAUGAAAAGUAAAUUAAUGUGAAACCUGGCCCAGCUUGCUGGAAAGCAGGUUUUAAAUUGUAAAUAUUCCUUAGAGGAGCAAAUGGAUUGUUUAAUACCAUAGUCUCAGUAAUCUAGCUUAUAUAAGGUCAUUACAUUUUUUAACUGAAAAACCUAGUUACCUGAUUAUUGCACAUUAUAAAAUUGUUUUUCUAAUACUUUAUAGGGCCCAACUUCAGAAAAUACUUCGCUUUUUUCUUUUUAUGCUUUCGUUUGUUUACCAGCAAGCAACUUCCCUGGGGAAGCCAAACACAUAUUCAUAAAAAAAAUCAAGUAGCUGAUGUGCAGUUGAGAAAACUAAAGGACUGAAAAAACAAAUUUUAACUAGCAAAUGCUGUGAAUUACUCUUCCUCCCCUUCUCUGAAAUGGGUAAAGGACAAAUUGUGUAAAAAAACCUAUGCACUAUAGAAGGGAAUAGUAACCAUUUCUUUUGUCUCUCUGUUUCUGUUCUGACUGAGAACCUGCAGCCAUUUCUUGUUACAUGAAAACAAAAUGCUACUUGUUACCUCUAUUUUUUGUUACUAUAGAAUUAUGAAAUGUAAUGUAAGACACCAACAGAAAUGAUAUACCUGUAACUGUACCUAUCAGGACUAUACCUCAUUUACAGUCAGAAAGCUUACUGGGAUGUCAGGAAAUGAUACAGGGUUGGUUCUCAUUUCGUGCCGAAAUGAGACAGAAAUUCAGUGACGAAGGUGCGUUGUAGGGGUAUCUGCAUUUGCAUAAAAACUACUCUUGACAUGAUUGUUCAUUUUACAAAAAAAUUCCAUUAAUUACCAAGCCCUCACCCAGCUCAUGUGUGAUAGGAUUUAUGUAGGAAGAAACUUGAUUUUCAAAUAAUUUUUUAAAUGUAUCUCUUGCCUAAAGGACUAUAUACAUCUAAUAAAGUAACACUAUGUCAUCUUCUGGAGUUAUCAAAAAUUGUAUACAAUCAAGACAACACAAAAUAAGAAUUAUUUUAUUUUUGAGUGCAAAUACAGGUACUGUUGGAGUUGAUGGGCACCAUGCUUUCUCAUGAAGUAGCAUUUCCCUACCAUCAAGCCAUUGUUUUGUGCCAUUCAGGAGAGGAAAAAAAGGAAUUUAUGCUGUACAUUUCAGUUCAGUGUAUGACCAAAAGCAAUAUGUUUAUAAGAAGAUGUUUGACAUACUAAUUAUUUUAUAUCAUUUAAACCAUACUGUAGCAACAUAAUAUAUGGAGCUAAUUUUUAGAAUUAUUUUUACGAUUUCCAACCAAAUGUACUGUACUGUUAUAUAAUUUAUUGUGAGGACCUUCUCAUGGAAGCCAUUAGGAAAACAAACUAGAGGUAAAUAUCACAUUAAUCUGCAUUAUCAGUUUCUCAUAGACACUGUGCUAAUGUGAAUUUUAAAUGACCUGCAUCAAGUCUUCUGAUCUCAGAUAACUCAGUACAGAUAGCAAUUAGUCAGCUGAUUUGAUUACAAUGGAGUAACCGACAAUAUAUUUAUUUAUAAAGCACAUAUUCAUAAUAACGAGAAUUCAGAAAACCACUUAAGCAAGACCCUUCUGAAAUAAAAAAUGUUGCUUUUUAAAUAGUUUGUCCUAAGGUGUUUAAACAUGUCAACCUUAUGUAAGGAAAAAUUUCCUGGUCCAAA
RNAcentral lists this long non-coding RNA (4218 nucleotides) under Pan troglodytes (chimpanzee). RNAcentral describes it as "long non-coding RNA NONPTRT015159". Lineage: Eukaryota; Metazoa; Chordata; Mammalia; Primates; Hominidae. The record is from RNAcentral.